Molecule: long non-coding RNA, 1152 nt
Organism: Heterocephalus glaber (naked mole-rat)
Lineage: Eukaryota; Metazoa; Chordata; Mammalia; Rodentia; Bathyergidae
Source: Ensembl
CUUUUGUUUAUUAGCUCCUUAGCAGCAGUCUGGCAGAAUGACAAAACAACGCAUAAUUUAUCUUAGCUUGGUGCUGCAGCAAGCAGAAGGAAGACUGUGACUGCAGGGGUGGAGUAAGAGUGACAAUGGGCAAGGUCUGGAGGGCUUCUGUCUGCCUCUGCUUCUAUCUGAGUGGUACUUCUGAAGGCAUUCCCAGGUUCUGAGAUGGAGAGCCCUCUGAUUAGCUGAUGAUCUCACUUGGAAGUGCUCCCUGGAGCUGCUCUGAGACUCAGGCUGGGACUUGAGUUGCUGGACCCCAAAGAGCUGCCACUGCCCAGCCUGGACACCAGCUUCUCCACUCUGUCCCACAGGAGGCUGGGCUUGAUAAUGCUGGUGGACUUUCUCUGUCCUACUUGGUUAUUUUGCUGCCCACCACCCUGAAGUGGGGGAUCUCUACCAACUGGACAUGGGAAGAUGUUCUCACAGGUGUCCCGAGGGCUGGGUCAGCAGGCUCACAGUGGGGCUUGGGCUGGAGGGGAAUGUGAAAGCCAGGCCUUCUCUGCAACUGCUACUUGCAGAAACAAGGCUGCUCUUGGUCUGGCAGAAACAAGGCAGAAAUGCUGCUCCAGGUCUCUUUUCUUUCUCUGCCCGACUCCUCUCUUCUUUGCUCCUUCUCUCCAGAUGCCUCUUCCUGUUCUCUCCUUCGCUGCUCCUGUUUCUGCUGCCUUUUAGGUUCACUCUCUCUUUUGUUGCCCCUGCUGUUGCUUGGAGCUUCUGUACUCUUGCUCCUGGAGCUGUUGCUCCUGCAGCCUUGGCUGUCUCCGCAGAACCUGAGCAUGCUCCUUGUUCACCUGCUGCAGUUGCAGAGUGGCCACCUGGGCACUUUGACAAUGGGAGGUUGGCUCUCCUUCCUGCUCAGGCCCUUCCUCCUCUUCCUCCUCACUCCUACUAUACUCAUACUUAGUUUCAUCUUUUUCUCUUCUCUUCAGUUUGGUCUGGUCUGUAUGGUCCUUAAGCUGGAUGUGAACUUGCCUUUCAUUUGGCUGAUUCCUUAUAAAAAGAUGACUCAAAAGCUGCUUAAUGGCGGGUGUUGUGUGUAAUUCUUCACCAGGGACCCUUCUAUAAAAGUAGAAAACUUCUUUGACCAUAUUUUGGACCUCAGCCUAGAGGAGG